RNAcentral lists this ribosomal RNA (254 nucleotides) under uncultured bacterium. RNAcentral describes it as "partial 16S ribosomal RNA". It matches the Rfam family "Bacterial small subunit ribosomal RNA", at positions 524 to 776 of the family's 1533-position model. The record is from RNAcentral.
GACGUAGGAUGCAAGCGUUGUCCGGAAUUAUUGGGCGUAAAGAGCUCGUAGGCGGUUCGGUAGGUCGGGUGUGAAAACUUUGGGCUCAACCCAAAGCGUGCACUCGAUACCGCCAUGACUAGAGUUCGGUAGGGGAGUGGGGAAUUCCUAGUGUAGCGGUGAAAUGCGCAGAUAUUAGGAGGAACACCGGUGGCGAAGGCGCCACUCUGGGCCGAAACUGACGCUGAGGAGCGAAAGCGUGGGUAGCAAACAGG